CAGUAGCCGCGGUAAUACGGAGGGUGCAAGCGUUAAUCGGAAUUACUGGGCGUAAAGCGCACGCAGGCGGUCCGUCAAGUCAGAUGUGAAAUCCCCGGGCUUAACCUGGGAACUGCAUUUGAAACUGGCAGGCUAGAGUCUUGUAGAGGGGGGUAGAAUUCCAGGUGUAGCGGUGAAAUGCGUAGAGAUCUGGAGGAAUACCGGUGGCGAAGGCGGCCCCCUGGACAAAGACUGACGCUCAGGUGCGAAAGCGUGGGGAGCAAACAGGAUUAGAGACCCCGGUAGUCCCUGUCUCUUAUAU
Molecule: ribosomal RNA, 301 nt
Filed under: uncultured bacterium
Lineage: Bacteria
Description: partial 16S ribosomal RNA
Rfam family: Bacterial small subunit ribosomal RNA
Source: RNAcentral